Molecule: ribosomal RNA, 2219 nt
Filed under: Listeria monocytogenes
Lineage: Bacteria; Bacillati; Bacillota; Bacilli; Caryophanales; Listeriaceae
Description: partial 23S ribosomal RNA
Rfam family: Bacterial large subunit ribosomal RNA
Source: RNAcentral
ACCCGAAACCAGGUGAUCUACCCAUGUCCAGGAUGAAGGUAAGGUAAUACUUACUGGAGGUCCGAACCCACGCACGUUGAAAAGUGCGGGGAUGAGGUGUGGGUAGCGGAGAAAUUCCAAUCGAACUUGGAGAUAGCUGGUUCUCUCCGAAAUAGCUUUAGGGCUAGCCUCGAGGUAAAGAGUCAUGGAGGUAGAGCACUGUUUGGACUAGGGGCCCUUCUCGGGUUACCGAAUUCAGAUAAACUCCGAAUGCCAUGUACUUAUACUCGGGAGUCAGACUGCGAGUGAUAAGAUCCGUAGUCGAAAGGGAAACAGCCCAGACCACCAGUUAAGGUCCCCAAAUAUAUGUUAAGUGGAAAAGGAUGUGGGGUUGCUUAGACAACCAGGAUGUUGGCUUAGAAGCAGCCACCAUUGAAAGAGUGCGUAAUAGCUCACUGGUCGAGUGACCCCGCGCCGAAAAUGUACCGGGGCUAAACAUAUUACCGAAACUGUGGAUGAACCUCUUUAGAGGUUCGUGGUAGGAGAGCGUUCUAAGGGCGGUGAAGUCAGACCGGAAGGACUGGUGGAGCGCUUAGAAGUGAGAAUGCCGGUAUGAGUAGCGAAAGAAGGGUGAGAAUCCCUUCCACCGAAUAUCUAAGGUUUCCUGAGGAAGGCUCGUCCGCUCAGGGUUAGUCGGGACCUAAGCCGAGGCCGAUAGGCGUAGGCGAUGGACAACAGGUAGAGAUUCCUGUACCAGUGCUAAUUGUUUAACCGAUGGGGUGACACAGAAGGAUAGGGAAUCGCACGAAUGGAAAUGUGCGUCCAAGCAGUGAGUGUGAGAAGUAGGCAAAUCCGCUUCUCGCGAAGCAUGAGCUGUGAUGGGGAAGGAAAUUAAGUACGGAAGUUCCUGAUUUCACGCUGUCAAGAAAAGCCUCUAGGAAGAGUAGUACUGCCCGUACCGCAAACCGACACAGGUAGAUGAGGAGAGAAUCCUAAGGUGAGCGAGAGAACUCUCGUUAAGGAACUCGGCAAAAUGACCCCGUAACUUCGGGAGAAGGGGUGCUCUAUUAGGGUGCAAGCCCGAGAGAGCCGCAGUGAAUAGGCCCAGGCGACUGUUUAGCAAAAACACAGGUCUCUGCAAAACCGUAAGGUGACGUAUAGGGGCUGACGCCUGCCCGGUGCUGGAAGGUUAAGAGGAGUGCUUAGCUUCGGCGAAGGUACGAAUUGAAGCCCCAGUAAACGGCGGCCGUAACUAUAACGGUCCUAAGGUAGCGAAAUUCCUUGUCGGGUAAGUUCCGACCCGCACGAAAGGCGCAACGAUCUGGGCACUGUCUCAACGAGAGACUCGGUGAAAUUAUAGUACCUGUGAAGAUGCAGGUUACCCGCGACAGGACGGAAAGACCCCGUGGAGCUUUACUGCAACCUGAUAUGGAAUGUUUGUACCGCUUGUACAGGAUAGGUAGGAGCCGAAGAGACGUGUGCGCUAGCAUACGAGGAGGCAAUGGUGGGAUACUACCCUGGCUGUAUGACCAUUCUAACCCGCCACGCUUAGCGCGUGGGGAGACAGUGUCAGGUGGGCAGUUUGACUGGGGCGGUCGCCUCCUAAAGAGUAACGGAGGCGCCCAAAGGUUCCCUCAGAAUGGAUGGAAAUCAUUCGCAGAGUGUAAAGGCACAAGGGAGCUUGACUGCGAGACUGACAAGUCGAGCAGGGACGAAAGUCGGGCUUAGUGAUCCGGUGGUUCCGCAUGGAAGGGCCAUCGCUCAACGGAUAAAAGCUACCCCGGGGAUAACAGGCUUAUCUCCCCCAAGAGUCCACAUCGACGGGGAGGUUUGGCACCUCGAUGUCGGCUCGUCGCAUCCUGGGGCUGUAGUCGGUCCCAAGGGUUGGGCUGUUCGCCCAUUAAAGCGGCACGCGAGCUGGGUUCAGAACGUCGUGAGACAGUUCGGUCCCUAUCCGUCGCGGGCGCAGGAAAUUUGAGAGGAGCUGUCCUUAGUACGAGAGGACCGGGAUGGACACACCGCUGGUGUACCAGUUGUUCCGCCAGGAGCAUCGCUGGGUAGCUAUGUGUGGCAGGGAUAAACGCUGAAAGCAUCUAAGCGUGAAGCCCCCCUCAAGAUGAGAUUUCCCAUUUCUUCGGAAAGUAAGAUCCCUGAAAGAUGAUCAGGUAGAUAGGUUUGGAGUGGAAGUGUAGCGAUACAUGGAGCGGACAAAUACUAAUCGAUCGAGGACUUAACCAAAA